This 477-nucleotide ribosomal RNA is filed under the name uncultured bacterium. RNAcentral's name for it is "partial 16S ribosomal RNA". It matches the Rfam family "Bacterial small subunit ribosomal RNA", at positions 30 to 507 of the family's 1533-position model. The record is from RNAcentral.
AUUGAACGCUGGCGGCAUGCCUUACACAUGCAAGUCGAACGGUAACAGGUUAAGCUGACGAGUGGCGAACGGGUGAGUAAUGUAUCGGAACGUGCCCAGUCGUGGGGGAUAACUGCUCGAAAGAGCAGCUAAUGCCGCAUACGACCUGAGGGUGAAAGCGGGGGAUCGCAAGACCUCGCGCGAUUGGAGCGGCCGAUAUCAGAUUAGGUAGUUGGUGAGGUAAAGGCUCACCAAGCCGACGAUCUGUAGCUGGUCUGAGAGGACGACCAGCCACACUGGGACUGAGACACGGCCCAGACUCCUACGGGAGGCAGCAGUGGGGAAUUUUGGACAAUGGGCGCAAGCCUGAUCCAGCCAUGCCGCGUGCGGGAAGAAGGCCUUCGGGUUGUAAACCGCUUUUGUCAGGGAAGAAAAGGUUCUGGCUAAUACCUGGGACUCAUGACGGUACCUGAAGAAUAAGCACCGGCUAACUACGUG